GGGCACUGAGCAGGGAA
RNAcentral lists this unclassified non-coding RNA (17 nucleotides) under Mus musculus (house mouse). RNAcentral describes it as "oocyte_clustered_small_RNA1384". The record is from RNAcentral. Lineage: Eukaryota; Metazoa; Chordata; Mammalia; Rodentia; Muridae.